ACCCGUCUAGCUCAGUCGGUAGAGCGCUGGCCCUUUUAAGCCAGUGGUCGUGGGUUCGAGCCCCACGGGGGGUG
This 74-nucleotide transfer RNA is filed under the name Phytophthora infestans T30-4. It matches the Rfam family "tRNA". From Rfam's summary of the family: Transfer RNA (tRNA) molecules are approximately 80 nucleotides in length. Their secondary structure includes four short double-helical elements and three loops (D, anti-codon, and T loops). Further hydrogen bonds mediate the characteristic L-shaped molecular structure. tRNAs have two regions of fundamental functional importance: the anti-codon, which is responsible for specific mRNA codon recognition, and the 3' end, to which the tRNAs corresponding amino acid is attached (by aminoacyl-tRNA synthetases). tRNAs cope with the degeneracy of the genetic code in two manners: having more than one tRNA (with a specific anti-codon) for a particular amino acid; and 'wobble' base-pairing, i.e. permitting non-standard base-pairing at the 3rd anti-codon position. Lineage: Eukaryota; Oomycota; Peronosporomycetes; Peronosporales; Peronosporaceae. The record is from Rfam by way of RNAcentral.